CAGAAAAUAACUUUUUUAAUAUUAAAAAUUAAAAUUUUUUUAAUUUGUGCAGAAACAAUUAUAAAAAUUAAAGACAAGAAGACCCUAAGAAUUUAUGAAUUUAAAUAACAUUUUUUUAUGUUAGCUAAAUUUUAGCUGGGGCGGCUAAGAAAUAUAAGAAACUUUUUGAAUUAAUUUGACCCAUUAGUAAUGAUCAUAUGAAAAAAUACUCUAGGGAUAACAGCGUUAUAUUUUUUGAUAGAUCAUAUUGACAAAA
This 256-nucleotide ribosomal RNA is filed under the name Rhipicephalus decoloratus. RNAcentral's name for it is "partial large subunit ribosomal RNA". Lineage: Eukaryota; Metazoa; Arthropoda; Arachnida; Ixodida; Ixodidae. The record is from RNAcentral.